RNAcentral lists this long non-coding RNA (850 nucleotides) under Marmota monax (woodchuck). The record is from RNAcentral. Lineage: Eukaryota; Metazoa; Chordata; Mammalia; Rodentia; Sciuridae.
GUUGAUGAAGCAGCCCCUCUAGCGUGGCACUGGGACACACUCUGCAGUUCUUAAGGGGGUGGCCUUCCUCCUCCUCCUCCUCCACCACCACCCAUCUAUUCCUGUAGUGCUGGAAUGAACAGUCUUAGCUGCUUUCCCUAAGCCCUGGUGGCCUCAGCACUGGGUCACCUGUACCUCCUUUACGGGGUUCCUUUAGGCACAUGUGAGGCCAAACCUGAGGCUGGCUGCUGGUGACGGGACAAGGAAACCCAGGACAGUUGACUUCUUUCUGAGCCUGUCAUUUCAUAGGUGGUGGCUGUGUGUUCACGGCAGCCUUGGAUCAAAAAGCAGUGAUGCUGGUGGGGGAGUGUGUUGUAAAGAAAGCAGCAGCAACAGCGGGAAGGUGGCGUGGAGAGGUUUCUUGAGCUAGAGGAGGCCUCAGCCGAGAGCAGCUGCAGGGGCAGCCCACAGUGCUGCCAAGGGCCAGGGCCUGGGGACUUGGAGUUCAAUCUGGGUUUUGUGCCUGAGAAGGGCCUGCGGUGAGGUGGGAGGGGAGCAGGACCUGUCUGGGAGGCUGCAGCUGAGGUCAGGCACAGAAUGGUGGCCAGGGAGAGGGUACAGGGUGGGCCGAGCAGUGGUCCAGAUCAGGUUUUGGGAGGUGUGGGAGGAGAGCCCACCUCUUGGCCUGUGCAGCUCGCGCCACUCCUGCUGAGCCAGAGGGAGAGGGUUCGUGCUGGUGCUGGGCACGCCUCUUCCCCUGGGAGGACCAGAGCGGGCACUGGGUGCUGGUCUAGCCCUUGGCUGGGUAGGAUGGGCUGCCCAAGAAGAUCGGAGAUCGAGCAGCGUGGCGAGGAUGCAGCCACCAGACCCC